RNAcentral lists this small RNA (91 nucleotides) under Flavobacterium sp. 9R. RNAcentral describes it as "Flavo-1". It matches the Rfam family "Flavo-1 RNA". Lineage: Bacteria; Pseudomonadati; Bacteroidota; Flavobacteriia; Flavobacteriales; Flavobacteriaceae. The record is from RNAcentral.
UUAUAGCCCCGAUCGCAGCGGCAUCCUCCUGUUUUGUCUCGUUCGAAAGAACGAGACAAAACAGGAGAUAUAGCGGAGAGCGGGACGAUGC